UACGAAGGGGGCUAGCGUUGUUCGGAAUUACUGGGCGUAAAGCGUUUGUAGGCGGUCAUUCAAGCUAGUGGUGAAAUCCCAGGGCUCAACCCUGGAAUUGCCAUUAGAACUGUUUGGCUAGAGAAUGUUAGAGGAAAGUGGAAUUCCUAGUGUAGGAGUGAAAUCCGUAGAGAUUAGGAGGAAUAUCGAUGGCGAAGGCAGCUUUCUGGGACAUUUCUGACGCUGAGAAACGAAAGCGUGGGUAGCAAACAGG
This 253-nucleotide ribosomal RNA is filed under the name uncultured bacterium. RNAcentral describes it as "partial 16S ribosomal RNA". It matches the Rfam family "Bacterial small subunit ribosomal RNA", at positions 524 to 776 of the family's 1533-position model. The record is from RNAcentral.